This 468-nucleotide ribosomal RNA is filed under the name uncultured bacterium. RNAcentral's name for it is "partial 16S ribosomal RNA". It matches the Rfam family "Bacterial small subunit ribosomal RNA", at positions 28 to 507 of the family's 1533-position model. The record is from RNAcentral.
GACGAACGCUGGCGGCGUGCUUAACACGUGCAAGUCGAACGGAAAGGCCCUGCUUUUGUGGGGUGCUCGAGUGGCGAACGGGUGAGUAACACGUGAGUAACCUACCCUUGACUUUGGGAUAACUUCAGGAAACUGGGGCUAAUACCGGAUAGGAGCUCCUGCUGCAUGGUGGGGGUUGGAAAGUUUCGGCGGUUGGGGAUGGACUCGCGGCUUAUCAGCUUGUUGGUGGGGUAGUGGCUUACCAAGGCUUUGACGGGUAGCCGGCCUGAGAGGGUGACCGGCCACAUUGGGACUGAGAUACGGCCCAGACUCCUACGGGAGGCAGCAGUGGGGAAUAUUGCACAAUGGGCGGAAGCCUGAUGCAGCAACGCCGCGUGCGGGAUGACGGCCUUCGGGUUGUAAACCGCUUUCGCCUGUGACGAAGCGUGAGUGACGGUAAUGGGUAAAGAAGCACCGGCUAACUACGUG